Molecule: long non-coding RNA, 602 nt
Organism: Nematostella vectensis (starlet sea anemone)
Lineage: Eukaryota; Metazoa; Cnidaria; Anthozoa; Actiniaria; Edwardsiidae
Exons: 3
Source: RefSeq, a predicted model, not a curated record
CUCUACAAGUGCGUCCAUGUCUGGGCCAUGUCUUGUACUGCAGCUUAAGAGGUCUCUACAAGUGCAUCCAUGUCUGGGCCAUGUCUUGUGCUGCAGCUUAAGAGGUCUCUACAAGUGCAUCCAUGUCUGGGCCAUGUCUUGUGCUGCAGCUUAAGAGGUCUCUACAAGUGAAUCCAUGUCUGGGCCAUGUCUUGUGCUGCAGCUUAAGAGGUCUCUACGAGUGAAUCCAUGUCUGGGCCAUGUCUUGUGCUGCAGCUUAAGAGGUCUCCACAAGUGCGUCCAUGUCUGGGCCAUGUCUUGUGCUGCAGCUUAAGAGGUCUCUACAAGUGAAUCCAUGUCUGGGCCAUGUCUUGUGCUGCAGCUUAAGAGGUCUCUACAAGUGAAUCCAUGUCUGGGCCAUGUCUUGUUCUGCAGCUUAAGAGGUCUCUACAAGUGAAUCCAUGUCUGGGCCAUGUCUUGUGCUGCAGCUUCAGAGGUCUCUACAAGUGCGUCCAUGUCUGGGCCAUGUCUUGUGCUGCAGCUUAAGAGGUCUCCACAAGUGCGUCCAUGUCUGGGCCAUGUCUUGUGCUGCAGCUUAAGAGGUCUCUACAAGUGAAUCCAUG